GCGCUCCCUUCAAUCCAUAAUCAAUCACUCAACAUAGUACUAUAGUUUGGACUCAGCACCCGUUCACACGGGGGUUGUUAAGGACAAUUACUUGCAUGGAUUACGGUGGUAAUCAUGUAUUGCGAACCGUCUCGGACGGUCAACCCGCAGUCGUUGGUAUCGAUGGUCCCAUGUCGAUAAUUAACAUGCAUCGUUUUCCUCUGUGUGCUUAAGUUGCUAGGAUGCUUAGGCGCAUGG
RNAcentral lists this long non-coding RNA (237 nucleotides) under Helianthus annuus (common sunflower). RNAcentral describes it as "sRNA HanXRQr2_Chr05g0217981". The record is from RNAcentral. Lineage: Eukaryota; Viridiplantae; Streptophyta; Magnoliopsida; Asterales; Asteraceae.